This 1517-nucleotide long non-coding RNA is filed under the name Heterocephalus glaber (naked mole-rat). RNAcentral describes it as "lncRNA (ENSHGLG00000041194.1)". Lineage: Eukaryota; Metazoa; Chordata; Mammalia; Rodentia; Bathyergidae. The record is from RNAcentral.
AGAACAAAAUAAAAGAGAGGUAAUGGGCAGUAGGGAGAGAGAUCUUUCUCAAAGGGAAAGGGGAGGGAGAGAUAGAGGAGGGAGGGAAGGAGCCAGGGGAGGGAGAGGGAUGACAACGGCAGGUUUGUUACGUACAGUCCCUUCGCCACGGGAGGAGCGCAGUCACGAUGCACUGCAGACGUGGACGAAACGUGCAAACAGAGCGUCGCCCGGCAGGACUUUCAGACUUUCAGUUCCGUCCAGGAGGCCCUGUGCCGCUGGGGGGCGCUGUGGGAGUGAGGGCCCUAGAGGCCGGGUGCAGACGGAGUCCCUGGCCCUGGCCUGAUGGCCACAGUCCCGGUGUCUGUGGGGCCCAGCCGGGCGCCUCCGCUCCUCGGCCAGGCCUGCGGGGCAGAGGCCAGCGGCGUGCAGCGCUCCGGCCGCGCCCCGCCUCCCACCGCCUCUCCUCCGCGUGCCAGGGACCCGGCAUUCAACCCCCGCAGGAGGGCCCGGCUCCUCAGGCUGCGGUCACGGCUUACACCGGCUCCCGGAUGCUCAGUUUCCCCGAACGCAUGUCAGACGAGCACGCAAAACCCGGUGCAAAGAGCUAGAACUGCGUCACAGAAGUGGCUGCCUGCAGUGUGACGCGGGUUCGGGUUCGGGCUGAAGUUCGGGUUCGAGGUCAUCACAGAGCAGCAGCGGCCUGGCGAGUUUUAGUAAAUAGUCACAGGGCGCAGCUCAGAAACGAGGAGUGGCCCGAGCCCCCGUGGCCGCAGGACUGUUUGCGAGACUCGGCCUGUGUUCAGCUGAAUGAUUCUUGCGAGAACUUCUGCCCCCAGUCCACUGAUCGCUUCCUUACAGCGAACACCUACCUAGGACCAACAGUGCCUGUCUGUCGGAAGGUAAAGGUGGUGGCAACAGGAUGCUGCCCGUGCUCCAGCGCUGGGCCUCUCCUCUCCGACUCUGUAAGCAGCCAUCCCGCGGGAGGGUGACACUCACGACAGAACGAAGGCCGAGGGCUGUUCCAUCACCUGCGGUCCUCCCACCGAGCCUACGGAGUCUUUCUGCGGGCGCCUGGAAUUGUGCGCGCACCGUUUCCCGCUUCUCUGCACGGCACAAUCAAGUCCCGGUGGGGUGCAGAGCGCACUGACUUGGACAACGCUUUUAAAGAUGUGACGAGGAUUGUCAAUUUGGCACGAUUCACGUUUUAGGAGCAGGCAAUCCAAAAAUCAAUUCAGCCUUCUCACAUCAUCUGAAAGAGAUUUUAUUUUUAUUGCAAAACGAGUAAUUUUCUUAUGUAUGUUUUGGCAAGGUACUUAUUUGGUGAACCAAGCAGGGAGGAAGUUAUCCUUCCAAAGAUGCUUUUCUUUAAAACUUUCACACUUCUUGUACAGUCUUUCCUUCACUAUCAAAUACAUUUAUUUCUACGAUCUUAUUUCCUGAAAAUUCCCGCAUUAAGUUCUUUAUUAAAAACAUCAGAUAAAAACCAAAUAAAAAACUUACAGAUGUGCUCACACAAAGUGAAAAUAGAUAGAAAA